Molecule: long non-coding RNA, 12305 nt
Filed under: Ananas comosus (pineapple)
Lineage: Eukaryota; Viridiplantae; Streptophyta; Magnoliopsida; Poales; Bromeliaceae
Description: long non-coding RNA (ACOM_LNC043852)
Source: RNAcentral
CCAACUAUGCCACUCGACUCGGUCUUGAGUCAAUUCAUAAUGAAUACAAGAUCCACUUUCCAAUUCAUGAUUCCUUUUUGUUCUUUGUUCUUUAAUCUCACGGCUAACCCGGGGGUUUCGCCACAUUAACUUGCUUCACAUUAAGUCCAUCAUCGCAGGAACUCACCAGCUAGGACCGUCCUUAGGGGUCUACUCCAACCCGGAUGCCAAACUCCGGAGCGCAUCGCCCGAGGGGGAGCGACCGCCCUCGAGCACGGAACUCAUAGCAAGUAUGAUCAAUCCUUAACUCUAAGGAUAUGUAGUUGGAUCAUGGUUUUACACUAACUCUAGUGUUCUUUACAUCACUUUAUGUUGCCACUCUAGCAAUCAUUGUUCUUUACAUCUCUUUUACUUUUGCUAACUCUAGCAAUCACGUUUUUCACAUUCCUUUACUUUAAGCUAUCUUUAGCUUUCACAUUCUUUAACUUUACACGUUCUUUAUGCCACAUUACAUUACAUUGUCUUUAGCCAUUAUCAUUAUUCUUUACAUCACAUUGCUUUGCCUUGUCUCAAGCCAUUAUCAUUAGGUUCUCACAUUACAUCUCAUGCAUACACAUAGAUUAUUUAGAUUCUUAAUCAUUCUAAUAAGCACGUGUACUCACAUCAUGCAACAUUACAUUAUUAUCAUCACAUUGUUUUACAUUAUCUUUAGCCAUUAUCAUUGUUCUUUACAUCACAUUUAUUCUUUGAUGUCCCACACUAACUCUAGUGUCCACUUUACCAUUUCGAAUGCCACUCGAUCUAUGUUCAACAUGCAUAUAUUUUGUCAUCCAUUGGUAGUCAUUACUUAGCAUUUUAUGCAUUCGUUAACAUUUACUACAUGCAUUCUCGGUUAGUACAAAUCUCAUACUUUCAUUUGACAUCUAUUUAGCAUUUCUAUAAUAUGCACAUAUAAAUUAACAUCAACUCAUGCAUUCAUUUGGCAUCUAUCUUUAUCAUGCAUUCUUAAAUAACAUACUUUAUCAUGCAUCAAUAGUAAAUAUACUACACUUUGGCACAAAAAGCGACCUAAUCACUUCGGUGAGCACAACCCACCUCAACACGCUUUCCGAUUGCUUGUCGACACUUGCAAUCGGCCUCCCGCGGCACCCGUAACCCGGUUUCGCCCGAUCUUUUGCGCGACCACCUGAACGGCCACCAAUCCAUGAUCCAUCUGUUCGGGAGUUUAUUCCCCGACACCACGAUGCUCCCGAUCCAUUUUCAUGAUUUUUGGAGGCUUAUCCCGCGUGCUGCAGCUAUCUGUACCAAAACAUACUGUUUCGUCAAUAACUUCGCGUACACUCGUCGGAUUGUCGAACCGAGCGCACCAAUGCGUUCGUUAUACCCCCAAUUAGGUUUAUAUAGGGUCAAUUGAGAUCAAACUCAACUAUUUACAAAAACCCCUUUUUGUAGCCCUAAAUGCUACUCUAGCAAAAUCCUCCAUUUCGUCUCAUGAAUCAAGCAUGGUUCAUCUAUUUAGCAUGUUAGGAUUCCAUUAAAAUCAUCUUUAGAGUAUAAGAACUUAACCCUAAAGAUCUACCAUUAAAGCUUCAAGAAGCUUACCUCUCUAGGUUUGCUCCAAGGUGAAGAAGAAGAUGAUGGAGGGAAGCUCUCCACUUGCUUCACCUUCUUUUCCCCUUUCUUCUUCUUCUUUCUCUUCUUCUUCUUCUCUUCUCCUUUCCUUUCUAGAGAGAGAGAGAGGAGGCUUUGGGUGUGAUACGGUGAGGGAGAGGGAGAGAGAGAGGUUCUAAUCCUCUCUUUACUCAUAACCCAUGCACAAAAUGCCAAUAAGUCCCUCAACAAUGCUUCUCUCGCAACAGCCCGAACUGGGCAUUUUCGGGGUUCGGGGACCGGUCAUUGCGACGAGAGACCGGUCCCUGAGAGACCGGUCCUUGACUGAGAGACCGGUCCCCGAAGGUCCAGAAAUCAGCCUUCAAGGACUUAGCCAAAUUUUCAGCUUUUUCACCGUUUUCGCUCCGUUUUCACUCGUUUUCGCUCGUUUGACAUCAGAUUCAUUUCAAAUCGAACCGAGACUCUCCAAACAUGUUUUUAAGCAUGUUUUCAUCAUCUUUUCAUCCACGCUAAUGCCGGAUUUAGUCCAUGGUCCAACAUAGCCUUUCGGGUCCCGUUUUCGCGCCCUAUGCGCACCGAAGCACCCGAAUGUUCCCGAACUUCGCCGGAAUGAUUCCAAUGGCUUUCUAAGCUAACAUACAUCGUAACUUCAUAAAUUAGAAGUUUGGUAUAUUACAUUCUCCACCUCUUAAAAAGAGUUCCGUCCGCGAAACUCAAACCACACCUCAAUUCAGCUCCUCGAGCAAUUGAGGGCACUAAUGCACUUUUCUACUUCGGAAGGGCUUUACACUCUUUGGAACUAUCCAAGAGGACUACUACGGAGCUCAUGAUACCAAACGCAUCCAACUUUGCAAGGCACAUCUCACAAAGUGCAUUAGGGUAUCCAUCUGUAAUACACUGAAUUUUUGCAAAUUGCGGAGUUCGAGUGUGUGGAUUGAUGUGUGGAACUCUUCUACAUGUUCUAUUAGCCUUGGACAAGUUUUUGAACAAGUUAGAGAGUGGUUGGAGGGUUAAAAGCAAGAAAGUGCAUUGAACUGGUGAAAAUCAGCAUUUUCUGCUUGCUGUACCGGUACAGCCAUCACCUUGUACCGGUACAAGCUGGCAGAUUCGUGGCAGCAAGGCUAUUUUGGUCAUUUCACAUCUUGUUCUCAGCUAUUUGAUCCCAGCACGACUUCUGGAGCUUGCUGGAGUGUGCUGGAGCUCAGAGAAAGGUUCUCCCACCUUCCUCACUCUCUCUCUCUAGGGUUUUUCUCUCCUAGAGAACAAGUCGCCAGUUUUGGGCCCUGCAAUUUCGCGCCGUACCGUCGUCCUCGCGCUGGUGGUGGACUAAGCCAUCUUUUAAAAAGAAAACAUUUUUGACUGUGUUUCCAUGUUUAAUAGCUCGGGUGUUGCUGAAAGAACUUUAAGAAGUCCUGUGCUCAACUUUUGCUCUAUUCUAGGUUUGCGAUUUGAUGUAAUCUGUUCCGUGAUCAGCAGAGUUUGUGCGGGUCUCCUGCAGCUAUAGAAGGACGAUAGUCUAAGCUGUUGAUUACCCCCACUUUGACCAGGGAGAAAGUGGCCUUCGAGGUCUGAGAAUUAAGUAUGUAGCUCCACUAAUGAUAGCUAUUCGAAUAUUGCGCACGUAAUCGAUAAGUGAUGUAAGUUUGACUGUUCCCGCAGCAGUUCUCGAACCUCCUUGGGGGGGGUAGGGGGGGGGGUUGGGUUACAGUUGGGGUACCAGGGAGUAGCUUGGAAGGUACCCCCACUAAAGGUACUGGAUUUCAGUUAGAAAACUGAAUUCGCAAUGUUUCCGACUAUAAUUUAGAAUUGACACUCUUGUGCCGUUUGGUAAAUAGUUCUGCAUCGGCUUGCAACGACCUUCGGUAUUACCUCCGGCUGAUACGUGAGGAGUGCAAGCUUAACUUGAUAUUUAUUGCGCCAAAAUAGGGAUUCAGAAUAUUACAAUGUACUAAAGCAAUCAAGUACGAAAUUGGACAUUUCAUCGGUCAAUUUGAUACAUAUCUAUACCUUCUGUUCAGCAGGAUUGCAGACCACUUAGUGGAGCAGAACUUGGACUCUUGGACGAUUGGAGCAUAUACGACUGGGUCGGACCUAACCAGAGCAAGUGAAACUCCUCUAUGUUCUAUAUGUAUUAAGAAAUGGUUAUUGGCUUAUGUAUUGAUAAAAGGGCUUGACAUUCGUUACAUCAUAAUGUUGAAAUUCGAACCCAAUAAUCUCUAUCAAGUAGAAGAACACAUUGAUACAAUAAAGAUAUUUACAUUAUAAGCAAUUCCAGUUGAAAUGAUUAAUGAACAAUGUAGAUGCACUUUAAAGAAGAACAAUGACAUUCUCUUACCAACGUAAAGAACUAGACAUGUUCAAUGGAUCUAUGUUGAAUUGCCAUACUUAGUGAUAGACUAUAGUGCCAUCUGACUUAGGCAUUACGCUACUUACAUGUUUACAAUUCUAGUGGAUACUACUCUUGUUAGCUAUUUAUGUGAUGAAUAUCCGAUCUUGAGGGUCCGAGGUGUAAGAACUUUUAGCAAUAGAAAAUAUGAAAAUGAGACAUGUGUCAUGACUUGUUGGUUGUCUUGCCAAUCGUGCCAUUCUGCACACGGUUGUGAGUGGCCUUCCCUGCAAGCCGGCCUCCGAGUUGGCCUAAGCGCGACAGUUGCUCGCCGUGCGGGAUUGGUGGCCAGAAGUGAUUGCCGUGGGAGUGUAUCUUACCACGGGUCAUUAGGCGCGGCAAAGCUGGACUACGCUUGGGUAUGUCCCUUAAUGAAAGGACAUAAUGAAAUCUUAUAAUUAAAGUUGUACAGUAGUUCACUUAUAUGUUCUGGCUUAUUCAUGAGUCAAUAUUCAUCCGAUACAUAGAGUUGCCAUAUCCACUAUUAUUGCUAUAAUGGAUUCAUUACUGUAAUAAAGUUAUUACAGUUAUACAUGUUGUUUACAUGAAUAUUAAUUGCUCUCGGCAAUGGGAUAAUUACUCACUAUCUGUUAGCAGAUUAGCUAUACUUAUAAUCAUGGGCAGUUACGCUUUUCUUUAAUUUCAGUACAUCAUUGAGCCUGGUGGUGUAAUUCCUGAGGCUGCGGCUUACCCACUGGAACUAUUGUACAUAGUUCUCUACGCGCCUUUUGGUGUGUUUUUAGCAAGCGCAUCUACAAGAGCACGCUGAUCGGGCAAGGGAUAGUCCGCUUCUAGCAGACUUUGCUAGGAGCAUGUCUAUCGAUCACCUUGCUAACUUCGGGCUUCGACAGCGAAUGGAGUCCAUUGUACUAUAAGUGACCUACCAUUGUAUCAGAUACUUUUUGUAUACCCAGUGUUGUAUAUGGUUGUGUGAUUACCCGGAUGUUUAUUAGUUCAUACUCUUCUCCUUUGCUGAGACUUUGGUUUAUGCUACUCUUUUGUUCUUUACUGAUCAGUAUAUUCGACUUUUUGUACAUUGCUCUGAAUCAGCGACGAGAGUCUCUUUGUUUUAACUCCCUAUCAUAACUUGCUUCUUCGUAGACUGCCUUAUAUUACAGCAGGUGUAAUGGCGGUCUGUGCACACGUGCGGAUAUUCUUCCGCUGGUACCGGCGUGACAACCCUAUAAUGCAAAACGGUGCCGAUAUUAACUUUGUACAUAGACUAUACGCUAUCAAUUUUCGUAAUGUUAAACAAGUUGGCCAACUGUUAGGCACCCCCCAAUUAGGUUUCCACGGGGUCAAAUUUGUCCCCUGAAAAAUCCUAGCAAAAGCCCAAAAUCAAGCCUAAAUGUUCAUUUAGGAUUUCCCAUGAAUCGUCCCAACCUAACAAAACAAUAGCUUAAUCAUCUUAAAAAGAUCCUAGGAAGUGUUCAUAAACCCUUGGAACCAACCCUAGGCUUCCAAUGACAACACCCUAACUCCCACUCAUUGAGAGCACUUUAGCCUCAUGGUCAUGGAGUCAAGAUAACAGAAGGCCCUAUGGCCAAAAAACCCCAAGCUCCAAAACAUAGGAUUUAAACCAUAAGCCAUAGACUCAUUUCUACGAAAAACUCACCUUAGUCCAAGCCCACUCAAAGAGUCUCUUCUUGUAGGAACUUGUAGAACCCAUUUCCAAACGCCUCCAAAAUCCAACCUUCCCAUUGCUUCUUCUUCUCUUACCCAAGCCCUAAGCAAAGUUUAGAAGAAGAAGAGAAAUGGGAAGAGUGAAAAUGCUGUUGGGAGAGAAGGGUGUCCAACAUAUAGUGUUGUAAAAUUGCAUUUAAACCCCUCAACUUGUUUCCCUCUUGAACUGCCCAGACUAGGCGUUUUCGCCUUCGGGACCGUCUCUCUCGACUAGGGACCUGGUUCCGAACGUGGGUGUUCCAGAGACUUAGCACAAAUUAUUUCGGGUUUUCGGGCUGUUCGCACGAGGAAAACCAGUCUCUACCCUUCAGGGACGGGUCUCCGAGGACCGGUCUCACCCACCAGGGACACGUCCAAGACUUCCUGAAGGCUACGUUGUACGGUACGCAGUCUCUCACUUCAGGACGGUCCCUCGAAGCUACAAAAUCUGGACUAUAACCAAGAUUUUCGAUUCUCUCCUCUCGGUCCCUUUUGGCUUCUCCUAUGAAGCCCUAAUCUGGCCUCAGGGCCAUUAUCUAAACUUGUUUCAAAUCUUCCGCGUUCGCUCGUUUUGACGGAAUCAGGCACGAUUCUAGAGGGAUUGAUGGUAUGUUCAAAAAGCUCAAAUGGAAACAGCCAAUCCCUCAUCCUAAAAAGCAACCUAAUUCAAGUUCUAAACCCCCAUCAAUAAGCUCUAAAACUUCUAAUCAAAAGACCCGCAAACAUAAUCCCUAUUCCAAAUCUAGGGUUUAUCCAAACAUUAAAAAUCCAUCAAACCACAGUAGUAAAGGAAAAUACAAUGCUACUAACUCUAAGUAGCCCAAACCAAGUCAAAAAUUAGCUAGGUUUAAGAUCUCCUCUAAACAAGCCCUCCAAACCUCCAAUCUUCAACAUAGAGAAACCAAACAACUAGCAAAAAGGAAAAAAAAAUGGAGAGAUACAAAUACACAUAAAAUCCACCAAAAGAGAUCAACAAGGGAGGAGACUACCUUGAUCUCCACGCUUAGGCUCAAAAAGAGCAAGCAAUGGGAUGUGGUAACAUAUUUAAGAGGUGCAGACAAUAAAUACACCCCCCCCAGAACUCACCCAGUCUGCCAUGGUACGGCGUACAGUCGGAAAGUUACCCGGUACACUUCUUCGAAAGCUGCGCAGCAACCCAGCCUGGUUGGCAAAAAAUCCGAAGUGUACCGGUAACCAGAUCGAGCUGUACCGAAUACAUUGCAUUCCGGUACACACCACAAGGGUGUACCUAUACACUAAUCCUGUAGAGGCAACCGAGAGCACACCAACAAUCUAUAUUUGGGAUUUGGUACAAGCUUAAACCGCACAAUUCUCGAUGCGAGUCAUAUCGAACCAUGUCUACGACCCUCAGAAUAUCGGAAAAGCUCAGAACACAGAUCAAACACCGAACCUCGCAAUUUCCAAAGUCCAGUGCGUUCACAAUAUCUCGACAAAAACUCAUACACUCCUGACUGUGCAAAAUAUCCCUCAGCUAUUACCUCAGAGGCUAUACGUACAUCAACUUGAGAUUUAAAAAAGAAACUCUAAAUAGUUCGAAACAUAAUAAUUAAAACUAACAAAAAAAACAGGCAUAUAGGUCUUUAAGAAUAAUAAUGUGAAAACUUUGAAUUAUAAAUUUCUAACCUCAUCAUGGAUCAUCCAACUAUGAACCGGUCUGUCAUUUUGCUUCCAUAUCAAAGUGUGUGACCGAAAUGGACCAUAAUCGUAAAAAAUAUGGGGAAUGAUUCUUUCAAAUGCAUAAGUAUCCACACAUCGUGUUGAUAGCUUCGAGAUUCUAAGAUGCUCAAGCCUGGAACAUUUCAAGGUUUAGAACAUACUCCGCAAAAAAUACAACAUUAAAUCAAUAAAGGGCAACUACUACCUUCGGCCAAGCACCAUGCAAUCUAACGACAAGUACGUUGCACAGAAUAUGAAUCAGGGCUUUCAAUCCUGUAACUUAUUGCUGCUUGAGUUGAAUACACUUCUUGAAAUAUUUUUGAUGAGUAACCAUCUAGUUACCUUGCAUCUUUAAACUUUUGGAUCUUCAAUCCCAUCUUUGGAGACAUAACGAAAACAAGCUGGUGGUAAUAUAUCUUAUUGAAUCAACAUGUUGAAGUGAAGUUUACAUGUCGUAUACCAGAUUCUGUAGAUCACAUCGUGCUCCAAAGUAUCUUUAGUUUUACUCAUCAAGAUUUGAAGAAUACAAAAAAAAGAAGAAGAAGAAAAAAAAAAGUAGAAAAAGAAAAAUUUAAUAAUGUGUAUUGAGAGAUCUCUGGCACUAAGGUGCAUUGGAGAAAAUUGAGUUCAAAUUUUUGAACGUGGGCAUAAUUUACAAUCUAGCACUAGGUUCAUAGACUUGUUGCCAAAAAAAGAAAGAGAAAUGUCUCGUAGCAUGCAUGGUUUACAAUACAAAUUAUCCUUUCCCUUUUCACUAUAUUGCAAAUGCCCAACUCAAGCAUAUAAUAUUUUUUUAUUUAACUAAAGCAUAAUAAAAGCAAAAGUAAAGGUUGAUUUUUUUAUUCUAAUUACGCGAUGAUCCCUAUCGUAACUUCCCACCUCUCCUACUGCCCACAACCGCCACCAUAUGCCACAUGUCCCUAUAAAAACACAAAGAAAAAGAAAAGUCCCAGGAAGUACGACUGGUCUCCAUAAAUAUCAUCUCAUGAGAACAGGAAAAAGGGGGACUUGUUUUGUAACUCUAAAAAACCUAUCCCUAACAAAAAAAAAUCCCACUACUUCUGUCUACUAAAGAAAAAGAAAGGUAAUAAUAAAUAUGUUUCUCUUACUCCAUUUGAUUUGGUCACAAUCAAAAGCUCUUUCUCUUCUCCUAACCGUGACAAAAAAAAAAACUCCUGCUGUUCUCGACCUCACAACAUGGCGACACCGCUCGCGCCAUGCGCGGCUGCCGACCUCCGCCGCGUCUCUCGCAGGAAUCGUCCUUCGACCGUGCACCAGAGUCAUCCUCAACGGUGCCCGCCUCCGCUCAGCUGUGUUCAAGCCACCCGCAAGGCUGUGGAGUCCCACCGACUGCACCUGCGCGGGGCGCACCUCCGUCGUGCGCGUCCCCCCCACACCGCCUCGUCGGUACCGUGAUAUGGCGACCCAUCGAGUUCAGCCUGCCGCCUCCUCGACGGGUCGUACCUCGUCUUCGUUGCGCCCGCAAGCGCACCGCCUGUGUUGGCGGCACGCCGACCUUGCCUCGUCCUCACCCUCACUUCAUCGCCUAACAGCCCGCCAUCCACGCCACCGCCUCCAGAUCGAUGCGAGCCCUACCAACAUCUGUGGCGGCAUCCUCUACUUCCUCUGCCCUCUCACUCCCUACGUUCUUGACAUUGCCGCUCCUCGUCACGCUCACCAGGUGUUCGUCUACGUCCGUCAAUGACAAACGCUUUCUUUAAAAAGACCGGUUUCUAAUUUACCCUCUCCUGACAGCACCCGUGCAUCUCGCGCACCCCAGUGAUCUUGAUCGCCUCUGCCACGACGAAGACGAUAGCAUUCUGCACACGCAGCUACGUGGCGAGACGCGCGCUACACCGCGUGAGCCGCUGUCGACCGCGGAGCUUCGCGUGUAAGGCGCACUAUGUCUAACUCUGCAGGCGCUGGCAGGUCGGCGGCGGUCAACUUGCCGAAAUCGUAAGGGAGCAUCGGUCCAUGGCUGUAAGCGCUUCAAACGGACGCACUCGGCUGCAGGCAUGGCGGCCCCAGCUGCCGAAAGGUACUGGCAUGAACGUCCGCUAGUCGUGCCACGCACAGCCUAUGGAUCGGCGGCGGACAAAGGCGCUGCAGAAUGCACUGCGUAUUGGUGCGCCGCGGGGACGCCUGCGGACAUCCAACAACGACUUCUCGGCCGCCGCGACAGACUCGUUUCUAUUCGAGUUCCCUGGACGUCGACGCUCGACCCUCGCUAAACAGCAUGACCUAAUCUCAGCAGGACUCAGUUCAGCAACCCUCAAACCUCACUACCGUCCAACUCAAGAUCUUCAAUCUCAAGAUACAAGAGCGAUUACCAACCGCUACUACCGAGUCAAGCCGGGCAAGCGAAGGAGGCCGCCGAGAACACCCCUGCCGCUCGCUUACAAAGCCGUUCAGGAUAUACUCUGACGGAGCUUCAACCUGACCGAUAUCAUGCAUACCAAUUGUUGAUGAAAUGCUAAGAUUGUAUAUAUGACGGGAACCCAAUCUGUAACAAAAGAAGAGCGUGCCUUCUUCUCUUAUAAAAAAUGGUCUAUCAAAAGAGAAUGAGCGGUGCUCUUCUUAUAAAAAAUACUGAAUCAUCGAAAAACGGAGAGAGCGGCUCUUCUCUUUGCAAAAAUAAAAAACAAAAAAAAAAAAAAUUAUCAAAAGAGAGAAAAGAUACUUUCUAUUAAUAAGUAGAGAGAGGGGCUUGUACAAAAAGUAGCAAGAAGGGAUUUUCCCACCUAAUUUCCCAUAAUUAAAAGAGACAAAGAAUAAAUUCUAUCUUGUGUCCUGUAUUCAAGGAGAUAAAAAAUAUUGUUCUCUUUUCUCCUAUAAUGAGAGACAAAAAAGGAAUAAUACAUAUCGCGUUAACUCAAAUUUAAUGAUUCUUUGAUCGUCUUUAUUAGAAGAACAAUGGAAUGUUCGAAAAUAAUCGAGCCCUUUGUUCUAUCCAAAGUCGAACUUUCGAUUGGCCAAAUAGACCAAUGAGAUUUUUAUCGCAUUGGAAUUUUAUGUGAUUAUGACUAAUUGAAUAAAUAAAAAAAAAUGCACGUCGAAAUUUUAAGUAAUGAAUUGAUUCUGAUCUAUACAUUUAAAUAUUGAUCUCAUAUGAAUCCAAAAUUAACUACCUCAAAACAAUGGAUCGAGUCUAUACCCACCUCAAUUACACAACUCGUCCAGCCCAAAUGUGAACACAUAACUGCAGGUUCAGCUCAAACAUAAAUUUGGGCCCAAUCUAAUAGCUGCCCUAAAGAAAACUGACUAAGCAUGCGGGGCCUAAACUGACCCAAGCCCAAUCCAGAUUUAAUUCAAUUCAGACCUCAACCAUAUGGGCUUAAAUCUACGUCCAUCACUGAAAUCAUAUUAUAUGGGCUGCCGAAUUUGGACAAUCUUGAAUCCACAGCAGAAUUGAACCUAAGCCAUGGAUUCCUUCACUAGGGACUAGCACAAAUCUCGAAAUAUUUAACCUAAAUCAGAAUUUGAAUUUGCUAUCAAUCAAAUCCACCUCUUGAACCUAAGCCAAUACCUAGGUACAACCGCAAUAUGAAACUAAGUCUUACAACUUUUUUUAAUCAAUUUCUUCUAGCACAUAAGGCUUAGAUAAUAUUGUUUACAUCAUCAUGUUAGAUCAAAUCAAAUAUCAUAAAUUAGGGUUUACCCCUAAUCAAAAAAAAAAAAAAAAUUAUUGAACUCUAAUAAUGUUGACUUAGAGUUCAAACAAAUGAAAUUGAAUUAGACCUCAAAACAUACACUUAGAUUUAAUUUUAAUUAAAUUAUGAACUUAUAGUUUAAUAUAUAUAAUUAGGAUUUGAUUGAUAUUUCACCUCCUGGUGGAAGCGAAAUGAAACUGAAUUAGAACUCUAAUACAUACCACCUUAGAGGUUAAUUUAAUCAAAUUUGACUAAUCCUAAUAUAUAUAAUAGGAUUAGUUAAUAUUUCACCCUUAUGAGUCGAACCAAAUGAAGACAUUUUAAGCUCUCACAAUAUAAGCAAGUAUAUCUUAAUUACAUUGGACUUUGAGAUAUUAAAUUGGCAGUCUAAUUUUAAAAAUAUUUAGCUGCUCAAUCUAACACAUACAUUUAGGAUGAAGGCUUAAAAUUAAUAUCAAAUCAAAUCCAUGCGACUUAUUCACAUAUAUUUAAAGUUCAAUUAACAAAUUAAAACUUAAUUCUUAAUUAAGAGUUUAAUUGGAUCGUCAAAUCUGAUUUAAUCACCAAAUGUAUAUACAUUGGAAUUUAAUCAACCUUUCAUCAUUAGGUAACUAAUAUUGUUGAAGCAUUGAAAAUAUACGAGCCAACCAAUAAAUUUGAUCAUACACUUUGAUAUCUCGAAAUAUUUACAACUUUUGUUGCCACACACUAACUCUAGUGUGCUUCAUGUCACAUUGGUUGCUAACUCUAGCCAUUAUCAUUGUUCUUUACACUUUGCUUGUUCUUUAUGCCACAUUACUUUACAUCGCCUCUAGCCAUUAUCAUUAUUCUUUACAUCACAUUGCUUUGCCUUGUCUCAAGCCAUUAUCAUUAGGUUCUCACAUUACAUCUCAUGCAUACACAUAGAUUAUUUAGAUUCUUAAUCAUUCUAAUAAGCACGUGUACUCACAUCAUGCAACAUUACAUUAUUAUCAUCACAUUGUUUUACAUUAUCUUUAGCCAUUAUCAUUAUUCUUUACAUCACAUUUAUUCUUUGUUGUCCCACACUAACUCUAGUGUCCACUUUACCAUUUCGAAUGCCACUCGAUCUAUGUUCAACAUGCAUAUAUUUUGUCAUCCAUUGGUAGUCAUUACUUAGCAUUUUAUACAUUCGUUAACAUUUACUACAUGCAUUCUCGGUUAGUACAAAUCUCAUACUUUCAUUUGACAUCUAAUUAGCAUUUCUAUAAUAUGCACAUGUAAAUUAACAUCAACUCAUGCAUUCAUUUGGCAUCUAUCUUUAUCAUGCAUUCUUAAAUAACAUACUUUAUCAUGCAUCAAUAGUAAAUAUACUACACUUU